UGCGCCGCGUCUGUUUCCCGGAAAAACUACUUGGAGCUGAUUGAAUUGUGCUAUCCGUCCUUUGAGGUCCCCUCCGAACGCCAAGAGAGCCUAGCCACGAAAACCCGUUCGAUGGUACCGAACUAGUAUUAUAUGGCCUGUAUCUCUCUCCCAACAUCCGGCUGGAACAAACCCCCCAGAACUUCCUGCGAAGUUGACCCCUCCAUCACCUCAUCCGAUCGAUUUCAUCCACCUC
RNAcentral lists this long non-coding RNA (235 nucleotides) under Physcomitrium patens. RNAcentral describes it as "long non-coding RNA (PPAT_LNC015034)". The record is from RNAcentral. Lineage: Eukaryota; Viridiplantae; Streptophyta; Bryopsida; Funariales; Funariaceae.